UGCCAUGAGACCACGUCGGGGCUUGG
RNAcentral lists this small RNA (26 nucleotides) under Bombyx mori (domestic silkworm). Its description in RNAcentral is "ovarian small RNA-33706". The record is from RNAcentral. Lineage: Eukaryota; Metazoa; Arthropoda; Insecta; Lepidoptera; Bombycidae.